GGUUACUGCUAUCGGUGUUCGCCUAAGCCAUGCGAGUCAUAUGUUCGUAAGAACAUGGCGUACUGCUCAGUAACACGUGGAUAACCUGCCCUUGGGUCCGGCAUAACCCCGGGAAACUGGGGAUAAUUCCGGAUAACGCACAUAUGCUGGAAUGCUUUUUGCGUAAAAUGGAUUCGUCUGCCCAAGGAUGGGUCUGCGGCCUAUCAGGUAGUAGUGGGUGUAAUGUACCUACUAGCCUACGACGGGUACGGGUUGUGAGAGCAAGAGCCCGGAGAUGGAUUCUGAGACAUGAAUCCAGGCCCUACGGGGCGCAGCAGGCGCGAAAACUUUACAAUGCGGGAAACCGUGAUAAGGGGACACCGAGUGCCAGCAUCCUAUGCUGGCUGUCCGGGUGUGUAAAAUACACCUGUUAGCAAGGGCCGGGCAAGACCGGUGCCAGCCGCCGCGGUAACACCGGCGGCCCGAGUGGUGAUCGUGAUUAUUGGGUCUAAAGGGUCCGUAGCCGGUUUGGUCAGUCCUCCGGGAAAUCUGACAGCUCAACUGUUAGGCUAUCGGAGGAUACUGCCAGACUUGGAACCGGGAGAGGUAAGAGGUACUACAGGGGUAGGAGUGAAAUCUUCUAAUCCCUGUGGGACCACCUGUGGCGAAGGCGUCUUACCAGAACGGGUUCGACGGUGAGGGACGAAAGCUGGGGGCACGAACCGGAUUAGAUACCCGGGUAGUCCCAGCCGUAAACGAUGCUCGCUAGGUGUCAGGCAUGGCGCGACCGUGUCUGGUGCCGCAGGGAAGCCGUGAAGCGAGCCACCUGGGAAGUACGGCCGCAAGGCUGAAACUUAA
RNAcentral lists this ribosomal RNA (837 nucleotides) under uncultured archaeon. Its description in RNAcentral is "bacterial SSU rRNA". It matches the Rfam family "Archaeal small subunit ribosomal RNA", at positions 21 to 859 of the family's 1478-position model. The record is from RNAcentral.